UCAAUUGUCGUAGCACUGCUGUUAGCCCU
Molecule: small RNA, 29 nt
Filed under: Bombyx mori (domestic silkworm)
Lineage: Eukaryota; Metazoa; Arthropoda; Insecta; Lepidoptera; Bombycidae
Description: piRNA piR-bmo-1374918
Source: RNAcentral